GACCCGCUAGCUCAGUUGGCAGAGCACCUGCCUUUUAAGCAGGGAGUCGAAGGUUCGAAUCCUUCGCGGGUCACCA
RNAcentral lists this transfer RNA (76 nucleotides) under Candidatus Methylomirabilota bacterium. RNAcentral's name for it is "candidate division NC10 bacterium (sediment metagenome) tRNA-Lys". It matches the Rfam family "tRNA". Rfam says of the family: Transfer RNA (tRNA) molecules are approximately 80 nucleotides in length. Lineage: Bacteria; Methylomirabilota (SeqCode). The record is from RNAcentral. RNAcentral also lists the same sequence under 1 other name.